RNAcentral lists this long non-coding RNA (1481 nucleotides) under Sinocyclocheilus anshuiensis. RNAcentral's name for it is "lncRNA (ENSSANG00000032553.1)". The record is from RNAcentral. Lineage: Eukaryota; Metazoa; Chordata; Actinopteri; Cypriniformes; Cyprinidae.
GAAUUAUUCCCAGAGGAACCACAGAAACUCUCUCUCUCUCUCUCUCGCGCACACACACACACACACUCUCUCUCUCUCUCUCUCUCUCUCUCGCACACACACACACACUCUCUCUCUCUCGCGCACACACACACACUCUCUCACUCUCUCUCUCGCACACACACACACACUCUCUCUCUCUCGCGCACACACACACACUCUCUCACUCUCUCUCUCGCACACACACACACACUCUCUCUCUCUCGCGCACACACACACACUCUCUCACUCUCUCUCUCGCACACACACACACACUCUCUCUCUCUCGCGCACACACACACACUCUCUCACUCUCUCUCUCGCACACACACACACACUCUCUCUCUCUCGCGCACACACACACACUCUCUCACUCUCUCUCUCGCACACACACACACACUCUCUCUCUCUCGCGCACACACACACACUCUCUCACUCUCUCUCUCGCACACACACACACACUCUCUCUCUCUCGCGCACACACACACACUCUCUCACUCUCUCUCUCGCACACACACACACACUCUCUCUCUCUCGCGCACACACACACACUCUCUCACUCUCUCUCUCGCACACACACACACACUCUCUCUCUCUCGCGCACACACACACACUCUCUCACUCUCUCUCUCGCACACACACACACACUCUCUCUCUCUCGCGCACACACACACACUCUCUCACUCUCUCUCUCGCACACACACACACACUCUCUCUCUCUCGCGCACACACACACACUCUCUCACUCUCUCUCUCGCACACACACACACACUCUCUCUCUCUCGCGCACACACACACACUCUCUCACUCUCUCUCUCGCACACACACACACACUCUCUCUCUCUCGCGCACACACACACACUCUCUCACUCUCUCUCUCGCACACACACACACACUCUCUCUCUCUCGCGCACACACACACACUCUCUCACUCUCUCUCUCGCACACACACACACACUCUCUCUCUCUCGCGCACACACACACACUCUCUCACUCUCUCUCUCGCACACACACACACACUCUCUCUCUCUCGCGCACACACACACACUCUCUCACUCUCUCUCUCGCACACACACACACACUCUCUCUCUCUCGCGCACACACACACACUCUCUCACUCUCUCUCUCGCACACACACACACACUCUCUCUCUCUCGCGCACACACACACACUCUCUCACUCUCUCUCUCGCACACACACACACACUCUCUCUCUCUCGCGCACACACACACACUCUCUCACUCUCUCUCUCGCACACACACACACACUCUCUCUCUCUCGCGCACACACACACACUCUCUCACUCUCUCUCUCGCACACACACACACACUCUCUCUCUCUCGCGCACACACACACACUCUCUCACUCUCUCUCUCUCACACACACACACACACACUCUCACACACACACACACACACACACUUUCUCAUGCCGGUUGAUGAACUAGUUUAGAGUCUUGAGAU